UUCAUGUCCAUGUCCUCGAUGCCCUUGGAGUGACCAGCUAGGGGACCAAAUAAAUGGAACGCCAUUACACGCCAUUAUACACGCACAAAUAGCGAGACAUCAAGUUCUUUCCUCCUCACACACUGGAUUCCCAAGUUGGCAAAGCUGUCCAGAUUACAGCAAACGAACAAAAACAAACGUUGAAGGACGCAUGUUCAAAGAGGGAAAUGGGGGGG
This is a long non-coding RNA of Hippocampus comes (tiger tail seahorse), 215 nucleotides long. RefSeq lists it as uncharacterized. NCBI's taxonomy places the organism in Eukaryota, Metazoa, Chordata, Actinopteri, Syngnathiformes, Syngnathidae. The record is from RefSeq and is a predicted model, not a curated record. The transcript is spliced from 2 exons.